RNAcentral lists this ribosomal RNA (462 nucleotides) under uncultured bacterium. RNAcentral's name for it is "partial 16S ribosomal RNA". It matches the Rfam family "Bacterial small subunit ribosomal RNA", at positions 28 to 506 of the family's 1533-position model. The record is from RNAcentral.
GAUGAACGCUGACAGAAUGCUUAACACAUGCAAGUCGAUGGGGAAGUGGUGCUUGCCCCAUGGCAACCAUGGCGGACGGGUGAGUAACGCGUAAGGGACUUACCUGCAGGACUGGGAUAACAGGGGGAAACUCCUGACAAGACCGGAUAAUGUCAUGGAGCUGCAUGGCUUUAUGAUGAAAGGAGACGCCUGCGGAGAGCCUUGCGUCCUAUUAGCUAGUUGGUGAGGUAAUGGCUCACCAAGGCGAAGAUAGGUAGCCGGCCUGAGAGGGUGGACGGCCACAAGGGGACUGAGAUACGGCCCUUACUCCUACGGGAGGCAGCAGUGGGGAAUAUUGGACAAUGGGGGCAACCCUGAUCCAGCAAUUCGGUGUGCACGAAGAAGGUUUUCGGAUUGUAAAGUGCUUUCAGCAGGGAAGAAGUAAGUGACGGUACCUGCAGAAGAAGCGACGGCUAAAUACGU